UACGUAGGUGGCAAGCGUUACUCGGAAUCACUAGGCGUAAAGCGCAGGUAGGCGGUUUGAUAAGUCUGUUGUGAAAGCUCCCGGCUUAACUGGGAGAGGCCAACGGAAACUGUCAGGCUUGAGUGUGGUAGAGGUAGCUGGAAUUCCCGGUGUAGCGGUGAAAUGCGUAGAUAUCGGGAGGAAUACCUAUGGCGAAAGCAGGCUACUGGACCAUCACUGACGCUGAUCUGCGAAAGCUAGGGGAGCAAACAGG
This 253-nucleotide ribosomal RNA is filed under the name uncultured bacterium. RNAcentral describes it as "partial 16S ribosomal RNA". It matches the Rfam family "Bacterial small subunit ribosomal RNA", at positions 524 to 776 of the family's 1533-position model. The record is from RNAcentral.